AAUGAACGUUGGCGGCGUGGAUUAGGCAUGCAAGUCGUGCGACAGGCCCGCAAGGGCGCUGAGCGGCGAAAGGGAGAGUAACGCGUAGGUUAUCUACCCUCAGGACCGGGAUAGCUACGGGAAACUGUAGGUAAUACCGGAUGAUGUCUCCGGACUAAAGGUGUGAUUCCGCCUGUGGAGGAGCCUGCGUCCUAUUAGCUAGUUGGUGGGGUAACGGCUCACCAAGGCGAAGAUGGGUACGGGAUGUGAGAGCAUAAUCCCGCUCAUUGGGACUGAGACACUGCCCAGACACCUACGGGUGGCUG
This 305-nucleotide ribosomal RNA is filed under the name uncultured Planctomycetota bacterium. RNAcentral's name for it is "bacterial SSU rRNA". It matches the Rfam family "Bacterial small subunit ribosomal RNA", at positions 29 to 351 of the family's 1533-position model. The record is from RNAcentral. Lineage: Bacteria; Pseudomonadati; Planctomycetota.